AUGGAGUCCGCCUUUCCAACAGCUGCACGGCUCGGGCUCCAUGUCCUCCUCUACUCAUCGCUGCUCCUCAACGCCCUCUUCCUCGUGCACCACUUCCUCUCCGCCCCGCCGGCGCCCGAGGCCAACAACGGCGGUGCGCUGAGCUGGACGCUAAGGGCGGCCAGGGAUGCCGAGUCCGUGGCCGCGGCGGGAUGCUCUGGCCACGGCCGCGUGUUCCUGGAUGGCAUCGUCGGCGAGGACGGGCGGCCCGGGUGCGAGUGCAACACCUGCUUCGAAGGGCCGGACUGCUCCGCCCGGACGCCCGACUGCACCGUCGACGCCGACAGCGGGGACCCGAUGUUCCUGGAGCCACACUGGAUGCGGCACGCGGAGGCCAGCGCCGUGGUGGUCUCCGGGUGGCACCGCAUGAGCUACAGAGCCACCGACGGUCUCUUCCAGUCCGUCGAGCUCGAGCGCUGCAUCAGGCGGCUGCACAGGGCCGUCGGCAACGCCGUCGCCGACGACAAGCAAAUCGUCUUCGCCACCGGCUCCAUGCAGCUGAUCAACGCGCUGGUGUACGCCCUGUCCCCAGACAGCAACUCCGGCUCGACGGCCAACGUGGUCGCCACCACGCCGUACUACCCGGCUUACAGAACGCAGAUCGUGUUGUUCGACAGCCGGGAGUACAAAUGGGCCGGGAACACCUCCAUGUGGGCGAAAGCGUCGGGGAACUCCACCACCAAGGAGGACGUCAUCGAGUUCGUGACGUCGCCGAACAACCCCGACGCCCUGCUCCACCAGCCCGUCGUCGUCGGCUCGUCGGCGAUCCUCGACCACGCCUACUUCUGGCCGCACUUCACGCACAUCCCCGCGCCCUCCGACGCGGACGUCAUGCUCUUCACCACCUCCAAGCUCUCCGGCCAUGCCAGCAGUCGAUUCGGGUGGGCGCUGAUAAGGGACGAGAAGGUGGCCAAGAGGGUCAAUGACUACAUUAUGCAGAACACCAUGGGCGCGUCCCGCGACACCCAGCUCCGGAUGCUUGCCAUCUUCAAGACCAUACUGGCCAACCUGCACGGCAAGGAGGACAUCUUCGCCUUCGGGCACGACGUGAUGACGGCCAAAUGGCGCAAGCUUAGCGCCGUCGUGUCGCACUCCCGCCGGAUCUCGCUGCAGAACAUCCCUCCCCAGUACUGA
RNAcentral lists this ribosomal RNA (1173 nucleotides) under Triticum aestivum (bread wheat). Its description in RNAcentral is "partial small subunit ribosomal RNA". The record is from RNAcentral. Lineage: Eukaryota; Viridiplantae; Streptophyta; Magnoliopsida; Poales; Poaceae.